GGCCAGCAGCCGCGGUAAAACGUAGGUGGCAAGCGUUAUCCGGAUUUACUGGGCGUAAAGCGUGUGCAGACGGAGCGUCAAGUGGUGUAUGAAAUCGCUCGGCUCAACCGGGCGCGGUUAUGCCAGACUGGCGUUCUAGAGACAGAGAGAGGGACGUGGAAUUCCGGGUGUAGUGGUGAAAUGCGUAGAGAUCCGGAGGAACCCCUGAGGCGAAGGCGGCGUCCUGGCUCUGGUCUGACGUUCAGACACGACAGCAUGGGGAGCGAACGGGAUUAGAAACCCCGGUAGUCCAUGCCGUAAACGAUGACAACUAGGCGCUGAGGGACUCAACCCCCGCGGUGCCGCAGCCAACGCGAUAAGUUGUCCGCCUGGGGAGUACGGUCGCAAGGCUAAAACUCAAAGGAAUUGACGGGGGCCCGCACAAGG
Molecule: ribosomal RNA, 426 nt
Filed under: uncultured bacterium
Lineage: Bacteria
Description: bacterial SSU rRNA
Rfam family: Bacterial small subunit ribosomal RNA
Source: RNAcentral